RNAcentral lists this ribosomal RNA (202 nucleotides) under Clostridioides difficile. Its description in RNAcentral is "partial 23S ribosomal RNA". It matches the Rfam family "Bacterial large subunit ribosomal RNA", at positions 2721 to 2925 of the family's 2925-position model. The record is from RNAcentral. Lineage: Bacteria; Bacillati; Bacillota; Clostridia; Peptostreptococcales; Peptostreptococcaceae.
UUGUCCUGCCAAGGGCAUGGCUGGGUAGCUAUGUACGGAAUGGAUAAGCGCUGAAAGCAUCUAAGCGCGAAGCCAACUUCAAGAUAAGAUUUCCCACCGCAAGGGUAAGACCCCAGAAAGACUAUCUGGUUGAUAGGUCGAAGGUGUAAGUGCAGCAAUGUAUUUAGCUUAUCGAUACUAAUAGGUCGAGGACUUGACCAAU